GACGAGGGGUCCUAGCGUUGUUCGGAAUCAUUGGGCGUAAAGCGUAUGUAGGCGGCCAUUUAAGUCAGGUGUGAAAUCCCCGGGCUCAACCCGGGAAGUGCAUUUGAUACUGGAUGGCUUGAGUAUGGGAGAGGAUAGUGGAAUUCCUGGUGUAGUGGUGAAAUACGUAGAUAUCAGGAGGAACACCGGUGGCGAAGGCGGCUAUCUGGCCCUAUACUGACGCUGGAGAAUACGAAAGCGUGGGGAGCAAACAGG
RNAcentral lists this ribosomal RNA (255 nucleotides) under uncultured bacterium. RNAcentral's name for it is "partial 16S ribosomal RNA". It matches the Rfam family "Bacterial small subunit ribosomal RNA", at positions 524 to 776 of the family's 1533-position model. The record is from RNAcentral.